GUGUUUAGCCCAAACACUGAGGAGAUGGUCAAGGAUACAAUCAAUAGUUCGCUAAAUAUUAUGAGUGAGAACUGGAAUGAGAAGUAUCUCGGACUCCCCCAUGUCGGAAGGUCUAGGAGGAAAGCUUUUGCUUACAUCAAGAAGAAUAUGUGCAACCGGGUCUAUGGUUGGCAGGAGAAAUUCUUGGCAUAGGAGAGUUAGGAGGUCCUGAUUAAAGCAGUGGCGCCGGCGAUUCCUACCUUUGCGAUGUCUUGUUUCGAUCUUACCAAGAACUUCUGCAUGAAAUUGAACACUCUCUUGGGGAAGUUCUGGUGGAGCCAACAAGAUAAGAAAAACCCCAUGCACAGACUAAGUUGGGAUGAGCUAACAGAGACUGAAGCCAUGGGAGGGCUCAGAUUUUGGGAUAUGCACAACUUCAACAUUGCCAUGCUAUCGAGGCAGGGAUGGGCGUUGAUCCAAAAGCCAGAGAGUCUAUUCGCAAGAGUGCUUAAAGCACGAUACUAUUCGCAUUGUAGUGUACUGGAGGCGAUCCCUCAUGAUGGAAUCUCAUACUCAUGGCGGAGUAUACUUCAUGGCCUAGAGCUAGUGAAAGAAGGAAUUUGGCGGAUUGGGGGAGGGUCCAAAGUGGAUAUCUGGAAUGACUUGUGGAUUCUGAGGGCUUGGUCGAGGCGAGUCAUUACUCUGAACGGUGCAAGCCUACUGACAACGGUAGAUGAGCUAAUAAGCCAGCUAACUGGUCAGUGGGAUGGAACACUUGCGAGAGAUACAUACCGUGCGGAGGAUGCCAAUCAUAUAAUGCAAAUUCCUCUAAGGGACGGUGUCGAGGAUUUUAUAGCCUAGCACUUUGACAUCAAAGGAAAUCAUUCUGUCAAAAGUGCUUAUAAGCUUCAUGUUGAGCUACGUAAGCAGGAACGAAGCCCUAGGGCCAGUUCUUCUGGCGCUGGCCAUCUAGAUGGAGUUGCAGAUCCAUCUUGGAAAAGAAUCUGGUAAAUACCGUGUCGUCGGAAUCUGUAGAUAUUCAUUUGGAGACUACGCCACGAGUCCCUUGCCAUAUGUGCAAAUCUGAUGAAAAGAGGCCUCAAAUUGGUGAUGGGGAACGUUGCAUGA
This 1107-nucleotide ribosomal RNA is filed under the name Triticum aestivum (bread wheat). RNAcentral describes it as "partial small subunit ribosomal RNA". The record is from RNAcentral. Lineage: Eukaryota; Viridiplantae; Streptophyta; Magnoliopsida; Poales; Poaceae.